UGGCACCGGCGCACGGGUGAGUAACGCGUAUCCAACCUGCCCUUUACUAUGGGACAGCCCGUCGAAAGGCGGAUUAAUACCGUAUGUUGUCAUGUUGAUGCAUAUUUUCAUGACCAAAGGCUUCGGCCGGUAAAGGAUGGGGAUGCGUCUGAUUAGCUUGCCGGCGGGGUAACGGCCCACCGGGGCGACGAUCAGUAGGGGUUCUGAGAGGAAGGUCCCCCACAUUGGAACUGAGACACGGUCCAAACUCCUACGGAAGGCAGCAG
This 266-nucleotide ribosomal RNA is filed under the name uncultured bacterium. RNAcentral's name for it is "partial 16S ribosomal RNA". It matches the Rfam family "Bacterial small subunit ribosomal RNA", at positions 90 to 354 of the family's 1533-position model. The record is from RNAcentral.